GGGCGCUGCUGCCGGCGGGGAUCUCCCAUCGCGGGGCUCAGCAGCAGCCGCGGUGCCCGUGCCCAUCCCGGCCCGUUUCUGGGUGAAAUCCCCACCCGUUUCUGGAUGAAAUUCCCGGCCCGUUUCUGAGUGACAUCCCCGCUGUUCCUGGGGCCCGGCACACCCCGAGGUUCCUCAUCCCUCGCACCCAGGGCCCGGCACACCCCGAGGUUCCUCAUCCCUCACACCCAGGGCCCGGCACACCCCGAGGUUCCUCAUCCCUCACACCCAGGGCCCGGCACACCCCGAGGUUCCUCGUCCCUCACACCCAGGGCCCAGCACACCCCGAGGUUCCUCGUCCCUCACACCCAGGGCCCAGCACACCCCGGGGUUCCUCGUUCCUCACACCCAGGGCCCGGCACACCCCGGGGUUCCUCGUUCCUCACACCCAGGGCCCGGCACACCCCGAGGUUCCUCGUUCCUCACACCCAGGGCCCGGCACACCCCGAGGUUCCUCGUUCCUCACACCCAGGGCCCGGACCCUGCCCGGGCUGUGGCCGGCUCUCCGUGCCCGGAGCUGUCUCGGGGAUGCCCGGCCGUGGCAUUGGUGUUCUUGUGUCACUCGGUGACCUCAGAGGUCUUUUCCCAUCUAACUGAUUCUGUGAUUUGUUUCAACCACUCCUGGUAAUGUAUCUUUGCGUUUCAAGCACUCAUCUGUUUACCGAAAUAAACCAGGGAAGUACAGUUCUGUUCA
Molecule: long non-coding RNA, 733 nt
Organism: Catharus ustulatus (Swainson's thrush)
Lineage: Eukaryota; Metazoa; Chordata; Aves; Passeriformes; Turdidae
Exons: 2
Source: RefSeq, a predicted model, not a curated record